UCAAAAGAUGAAAUUAUGGCUUCCAUCAGAGUUCACCAUUCAAGCAAUGUUGAUGAUGGUGGGGCUUUCAAGUUUAGCUUUCUUCUCCAAUGUUGAUUUCCCUGUUCCAAUGAUGACAACAGCUUCAAAGAUUGAAUCUCAAGGGAGAGCUCUUCUUCAAUGGAAGGCCACCCUUGAAACACAAGAACUCCUUAACACCUGGAUGUCAAACACCAGUCCAUGCAACUGGACAGGAAUCACUUGCAGAAAUGAUAACCAUCUCAUGCAGACCAUCACCAAAAUCCAAUUAGCAGGAAUGGGAUUGGAGGGAAAGCUAGAGACUCUCAACUUCUUUGCUUUGCCUUCCGUUCGAGUUCUCGACCUCAGAGACAACCAUAUACAUGGAUCCAUCCCUGCAACCAUUUCAGCUCUCUCCAAGCUCUCUGCUCUUGGUCUCUCUAACAACAAUCUUACAGGCAUCAUCCCAUCAGAGCUUGGUAAUUUGACAAGGCUCAAGACUUUGGUGCUCUAUGAGAAUCAGAUAAGUGGCUCCUUACCUCCUUUUCUAGGAAAGCUUUUGAACCUGAAUUUCUUAGUCAUCUCCACAAAUUUCUUAGUUGGUUCCAUCCCUCAAGAGUUUGGAAACUUGACCAACCUCAAAGUUUUACACUUAUGGAGAAAUGGCCUUAAUGGUUCUAUUCCUCAUGAGAUUGGAAAUCUAGUAAACUUGAUAGAUUUUGAAAUAUCUCAAAACCAAAUAACUGGUCCCAUCCCACAUAGCAUUGGAAACCUGACCAAGCUUGAAACUCUCUACCUCUUUAGUAAUAACAUAAAUGGCUCCAUUCCAAGUGAAAUUGGCAAUCUAGUGAACUUGAUAGAUUUUGCAACAAAUGAAAAUCAAAUAACAAGUCCCAUUCCACAUAGCAUUGGAAACCUAACCAAACUUGAAACUUUUUACCUAAGUGACAAUGGCAUAAAUGGCUCCAUUCCUUAUGAGAUUGGGAAUCUACUAAACUUGAGAGAUUUUGAAAUAUUUGACAACCAAAUGAUUGGCCCCAUCCCACAUAGCAUUGGAAACCUAACCAAACUAGAAAUACUUUACCUAUAUGGUAAUAUAAUAAAUGGCUCUAUUCCUAGUGAAAUUGGGAGUAUAGUGAAUUUGAGAGAUUUUCAAAUGUAUGACAACAAAAUAACUGGUUCCAUUCCACAUAGCAUUGGAAACCUAAACAACCUUGAAAUUUUUUACCUACAUAACAAUAACAUAAAUGGGUUAUUGCCCAAUGAAAUGGUGAACCUCACAAAUCUAAUUGAUCUUCAAUUAGUCAAUAACAGCCUUUCUGGUAAUGUGCCAACAGAUUUAGCCAAAGGAGCGUUGCUUCAAUAUCUUUCUUUGGCAUACAAUAAUUUCCAAGGCCCCAUUCCAAUAAGUUUGAAAAAUUCAACAAAAUUAGUAAGGGUCCGGCUUGAAAGAAACCACUUCACUGGAGAUGUUUCUAAAAGUUUUGGUGUUCAUCCGCAAUUGGAUUUUAUUGAUCUAAGCUUUAACAGAUUGUCUGGCACUUUAUUACCAUCUUGGGGAGCAUGCCUUAACUUGACAAGCUUUACAAUAUCAAGCAAUAGAAUCAGUGGAGAAAUACCAUGGGAAAUAGUUCAAUUGCCAAAGCUGCAGCUACUUGACAUCUCUUCCAAUAAUUUGGUGGGAAAGAUCCCUAAAGCGUUUUAUAAAUUAUCUCACAUAUUUCAUUUGAACAUGAGCAACAAUCAUCUCACAGGAACCAUACCGAUAGAAUUUGGGAAUCUAUCUUCAUUAGAAGUUCUAGAUCUGUCAAGCAACAAUUUGAAAGGAGAAAUACCAGUACAGUUAGAAAAUUGCCUAAAAUUGGACUUACUCAAGUUGAGCAAUAAUGAGCUAAAUGGAUCCAUCCCUUUUCAACUAGGUAAUUUGAACUUGCAUCAAGUUCUUGACUUGAGUGAGAAUCUAUUCACAGGAGAAAUACCACUGCAACUUAGCAAGUUAAUAAUGUUGCAAGAGUUGAAUUUAUCAAAUAAUGAGUUGGUUGGUCGCAUUCCAUCUUCUUUUCAAUUAAUGACAGGCUUAGCAUCAUUGGAUGUAUCUUAUAAUCAUCUAGAAGGUCCAAUUCCAAAAAAUCAUUUCUUUCAAACAGCUCCCAUUAAGUGGUUUGCCCACAACAAGGGCUUAUGUGGUCAAGUGCAUGGUUUGCCUCCAUGUGACCAAUCCUGGUCAACAAGUAAAGGUGAUGCAAAGAAACAUCAUAAAAUCAUUAUCUUGAUAGCUAUUUUGGUAUUUGGAAUUUUAUUUAUCAUAUUUCUGGCAAUUGGAUUAUUCACAUUGCUUUAUUAUAAGAGAAAGAGAUCUACUAUGAAUGACACAAAGGAAGAAUUUGAUGGACAUUUUUUCUCCAUUUGGAGAGUCAAUCAUGGAAAGGAAGCAUACAAAGAGAUCAUUAGAGCAACAGAAAAUUUUGAUGAAAAGUAUCAGAUUGGUACCGGAGCUUAUAGCAUGGUCUAUAAAGCGACUCUAUCAUCUGGAAAAACACUUGCUAUUAAGAAAAUUCAAGAAGAAGAAGCCCAAGUGAAUGAACAAGCUUUCAAAAAUGAAAUACAAGCAUUAACUAAAAUUCGGCAUCGAAACAUUGUGAGGUUUUAUGGUUUCUGCUCUACAAAUAAAUUCAAUUUUCUUGCCUAUGAGUAUAUGGAGAGAGGAUGUCUACAUGCCACACUAAAAUCUGAACAGGAAGCAAUGAAAUUGGAUUGGAUCAAGAGAGCUGCCAUUAUAAGAGACAUUGCUCAAGCUUUGUCUUACUUGCAUCAUGAUUGUAUUCCACCUAUUGUUCAUCGAGACAUAACAAGCAACAAUGUUCUAUUGGAUGAAGAGUACAAGGCUUAUGUUUCGGACUUUGGUAUUUCUCGACUGCUAAAGCCUAAUUCAUCACAUUGGAGUUUACUUGCAGGCACAUACGGUUACAUGGCACCGGAGCUUGCCUAUAUAAUGAGAGUGACUGAAAAAUGUGAUGUAUAUAGUUUCGGAAUUCUAGCACUUGAAGUGAUACAUGGAACACAUCCCGGGGAUCUCCUAAGCAACUUAUCAUUGAGUAUGCUAGUAAAAGAUAUGCUAGAUCCACGUCUCCCCUUUCAUAUAGCUGAUCAAGCGACCACAAACCAAGUGCUUUCAGUGAUUUUAAUAGCAAUGCAAUGCAUCAAUACCGAUCCACAGGCUCGCCCUACAAUGCAACAAGCAUCUCAAAGGUUAUCUUCUCCAAAGUCUUUGCAAGCAUUUGACAUCUGCUCUUUUCCAACACUUACCCUUGAUUACCUCGAAAACAUUGUACAAGUGCAUAUUGACGAUCAAGUGCAUGGGUAAUAUGAACUGAGGUCAAAUUACUAAGCAUCCCAAAACUGCAGGCAUUGAAUCUCUGUGCUUCACCCAUAACCUAUGAAAAGGCACAACCAUAAUCACUCAAGCGAGGGUAAUCUUGACCUUGAGUUUUCAAAGCAGCCUUCUCUUCGUCAGUCUGUGUUGUUGUAAUGAACUCUCCUUUUAUCUUCACUAUUUGCCUAGGUAACUCAAGCAUGCUCUAUGGGUUGUGUACCUCAUGGCAUCGGAAAUUUGAAGUCUCUGAAAGGUUUGUGCUUAUCGAGCAAUCCAUUGCCAGUUCAAGGGUGGAUAACUUGAACUUCUUGUACUAAUGCAUAAUGAUUUCUGGGGCCUCAUUCCCAAGAAGUUUGAAAACUCCUCAAACUUAAUCAGAGUCCGACAUGAAAGAAAUAAAUUCACUGGAGAUAUCUCUGGAAGCUUUGGGGUUUAUCAGCAUUUAUUGUACAUUGAUAUAAGUUUUAACAGAAUACCUGGCAUCGUAUUGUCAUCUUCAGCAGAAUGUCUAAAUUUGAUGGAACUAUAUACCUUCUGAGUUCAGGUCCGGCCAGCAAGAUUGCAGAAGAAUUGAGGAACAAUAUCCAAGCAUCAAUACCAGCACAAGUUGGAAAACUGCACUGAAUUGCAUUCCUUGAAGUUGGGCAAUAAUAACUGAGUGGAGGCAUCACAUGCCAACUUGGCAAUUUAAAUUUGAAGGAACUACUAGACUUGAGCAACAAUUCAUUCGCUGGAUAUACGACCACAACUCGACAAAUUAACAGAUUUACAAGAACUGAAAAAAACUCUGGUUGGAUGGUCCAAUCACAAUGAAGGCUUUCGUGGUUGAGUACAAGAGUUGCCUGCGUGCUUUUCCUCUCCGAUGA
RNA transcript from Dioscorea cayenensis subsp. rotundata (Guinea yam), 4236 nucleotides. It is a transcript of the gene named MDIS1-interacting receptor like kinase 2-like, with no coding region annotated. Lineage: Eukaryota; Viridiplantae; Streptophyta; Magnoliopsida; Dioscoreales; Dioscoreaceae. The transcript has 6 exons. The record is from RefSeq and is a predicted model, not a curated record.